AGUGAACGCUGGCGGUAGGCCUAACACAUGCAAGUCGAACGGCAGCACAGUAAGAGCUUGCUCUUACGGGUGGCGAGUGGCGGACGGGUGAGGAAUACAUCGGAAUCUACUUUUUCGUGGGGGAUAACGUAGGGAAACUUACGCUAAUACCGCAUACGACCUACGGGUGAAAGCAGGGGAUCUUCGGACCUUGCGCGAUUGAAUGAGCCGAUGUCGGAUUAGCUAGUUGGCGGGGUAAAGGCCCACCAAGGCGACGAUCCGUAGCUGGUCUGAGAGGAUGAUCAGCCACACUGGAACUGAGACACGGUCCAGACUCCUACGGGAGGCAGCAGUGGGGAAUAGUGGACAAUGGGCGCAAGCCUGAUCCAGCCAUACCGCGUGGGUGAAGAAGGCCUUCGGGUUGUAAAGCCCUUUUGUUGGGAGAGAAAAGCAGCAGGUUAAUACCCCGCUGUUCUGACGGUACCCAAAGAAUAAGCACCGGCUAACUUCGUG
This 492-nucleotide ribosomal RNA is filed under the name uncultured bacterium. RNAcentral's name for it is "partial 16S ribosomal RNA". It matches the Rfam family "Bacterial small subunit ribosomal RNA", at positions 29 to 507 of the family's 1533-position model. The record is from RNAcentral.